GAUGAAGAACGUAACGAAAUGCGAUAAGUAGUGUGAAUUGCAGAAUUUAGUGAAUCAUCGAAUCUUUGAACGCACAUUGCGCCCUUUGGUAUUCCUUAGGGCAUGCCUGUUCGAGCGUCAUCUACACCCUCAAGCACAGCUUGGUGAUGGGCGCCUGUCCCGCCCCCCACGGGGGCGCGGACUCGCCUCAAAUGCAUUGGCGGCCGGCGACCUGGCUUCGAGCGCAGCAGAAACGCGUACUCGGGGACCGGGCGCCCGCUCCCAGAAGCCAACCCACCCAGUUUGACCUCGGAUCAGGUAGGGAUACCCGCUGAACUUAAGCAUAUCAAUAAGCGGAGGA
RNAcentral lists this unclassified non-coding RNA (340 nucleotides) under soil metagenome. Its description in RNAcentral is "partial contains 5.8S ribosomal RNA, internal transcribed spacer 2, and large subunit ribosomal RNA". The stretch from base 1 to 120 matches the Rfam family "5.8S ribosomal RNA", at positions 35 to 154 of the family's 154-position model. The record is from RNAcentral.